UUCUGGAUGAUGAAGAUAAAAUCAUUCCGAUACCCAUUGAUUUUACAAUAUGAUUUUUAAGAACCAGCUACUUCUGACAA
RNAcentral lists this small nucleolar RNA (80 nucleotides) under Zea mays. RNAcentral's name for it is "Small nucleolar RNA R12". It matches the Rfam family "Small nucleolar RNA R12". Rfam says of the family: snoR12 is a C/D box small nucleolar RNA, which acts as a methylation guide for 25S ribosomal RNA in plants. snoR12 has been alternatively named snoZ44 in Arabidopsis and snoZ131 in rice. Lineage: Eukaryota; Viridiplantae; Streptophyta; Magnoliopsida; Poales; Poaceae. The record is from Rfam by way of RNAcentral.